Molecule: long non-coding RNA, 3363 nt
Filed under: Panax ginseng (ginseng)
Lineage: Eukaryota; Viridiplantae; Streptophyta; Magnoliopsida; Apiales; Araliaceae
Description: long non-coding RNA (PGIN_LNC000746)
Source: RNAcentral
UGUUAUCAGCUAGCAAACAAUGGAAUUAUCCAAGUGUAGCAUCCAAUGUAUCUAUUAUAUUUUUUUAUAUAGAUUAAAGAGAGGGGAAAUGCAUUAUUUUCAUUAAUUAUGCUUUAUUGCUACCACAUGUCCACAAAAUCCGGCCAUUCCAUCUAGAAAUCACCUAUGGGCUGUAGUAUUACCAUCAAUCAGCCAUUACAAUCAUUUCAUACAUUAUUUUAUGGAUCUAAGAGAGAGAAAUGUACCAUUUUUGGCCUAUUUAUUCACAAGCACUUAGCUUCAUUCUCUCAAGCUUAAACCUACGAAAUUUCCUUACCAUAUCAGUCUAUAAUCAAGCCCCAUUCACACCAACAACAAAUCAGAAGCAUCAAAGGAUCAAAAUCAAGAAAUCAAAGCUAGAAAAGGUAAAAACCCUAAAUUCUAGAAAUCCUUCGAUUCGAUGUUAAUUGGUGCAAUUGAUUGUUUAAAGUUGUGUAAUAGGGAGUCUAUUAAUGUUCUGGGUUGUUAAAUUCAGGACCCAUAACAUCAAAGUGCUCAAAAUCAAACUUUUUCCAACUUUUAUAAAACCGAAUUCUGUUAUUUUUGGGCAAAUGUCAAGCCUUAUAUCUCUGUGGUUAUUUACUAUUUUUGGUGUUUGUAAGAUUUUAUGUGUAGCUUGUUAUGAGGUAGUUAAGAUUCAAAAAGAAUCAAGGCCAUAUCUAUUAUAUAUCACAAGAUAUAAACGGUCAAAACCCCGUUAACCAAAACUGCCAAAAUCGCGAAUCCAGAAAUUUUGUGCAGAAUUUCCGUGGUUCACUUUGACUGGGUAUUUAUGGUUAGCUCUGAUGGUAUUAUGUUGAUGUUAAGGUUUGAAGUUGUAGUCCUACAUGUUGUCGACACACUGGAAGUGAUAGAGCACAAAAAUGUUACACGAUAACCAAGUUAUAGAGGUCCAAAGUAGGCACCUCGAAGCUGUUUUUCGUGAAGAACAGCUUUGGCAGCUACUUUGAGGUUCGAUUUCUCCCAGAUAUGAUGUUUUUUAGAGGUCAUGUUUGUUGGAUCUUGUAGUCUUGUAUUUCCUCUACAAUACAAAAUUUAUAGAUUGUCCAAAUUCGUUAAGAUGAGAGAGUUAUUCACGGUCAAAGUAGGCCACUCGGUUCUGCCUUAUGAAGAUCUGGGUAGGCUCAAGAACACCUAUAGCGACGGUUCUGUCACUAUAGGGGCCUUUAGCGACAGUUUUAAUUAUUUUAAUUUCUGAUUUUCCGGAAAUUAAUUUAAAAAUUAGAAAAAUUAGUUUUUAAUUAUUAAAAAUACCAAAUAAAUUAUGAAAAAUUAUUUUAAAGUCUGAAAAAUAGUUUUUAAUUAUUUUGAGUAUAUUUCAUAAAUAUUUAAUAUUUUUGGAAUAUAAAAGGUAUUUAUUUAUUUAAUUAUAAUAUUAAAUAAAUGAUUUAAAAAUAGUUUUAAUUCAUGAAAAAUCAUGAAAAAUUAUUUUAUGGUAUAAGAAAAUAUUUUGAGUUAUUUUCCAUGACUUUUAAUAUUUUGUGAUGAAUUUCAUUAAUUAAUUAUAUAUUAAUGAUAUUAAAGUUAUUUAAUGAUUAUAUUAAAUAAUUUAGUUUAAAAAUGAUUUUAAUAUUAUAAAAAUCAUUUUAAAUGAAAUUAAGGUAUUUAAAAAUAUUUUAAGUUAUAAAAUAUAACUUUUAAUAUUUAAAGGAUAAUUUCAUUAAUAAUUUAAUAUUAAUGAUAUUAAGAUAAUAUUAAUGAUAUUUAGUUUAUUUAAUAAUUAUUAUUAAAUAAAUAGUUUAAAAAUGGUUUUAUUUAUUUAAAAAUCAUUUAAAGAGGAUAUUAAGGAUUUAAAAAUAUUUUAAGUUAUAAUUAAUGACUUUUAAUAUUUGGAUGAAUAGUACAUUAAUAUUUAUAUAUUAAUGGUGAUUAUUUAAAAAUGAUUUUAAUUGUUUUAAAAAUCAUUUAAGGGUAAUAUAAAUGUUUUAAAAAUAGUUUGAGUUAUUAUAAAUAACUUUUAUAUUUUGGCAAUGGUUUCAUUAAUAGUUUAAUAUAAAUUAAUUAUUAAUGAUAAUGGAAUUGUUUAAUGUUUAAAUCAUUUAAUUAUGAUUCCGAUGUUUGAAAGUUAUAGCCGGCCAAACUAGCUGACUUGAGAACCGAUUAUGAAGUUCUGAAUUUGAAGAAGAACACCUAUAGUAACAGUUAUAUCACUAUAGGCCCUUUAGUGACAGAUUUGAAUUAUUUUAAAUUUUUCAAUUUCUGGAAAUUGCGAAAAUGAUUAAAAAUAAGAUGUCUGAUAUUUACAGAUGUUGAGGUAUAGAAUAAGAGUCUUAGACUCAGUAUUUACCCGAUAAAGCUGUCGGUACGCCGACAAAUGUCAGACCUUAUAAAAGAAAGAAAAGACUACUGUAAGAGCAUGGAUGAGAUAUUUGAAAAAUGUAUAAAAAUAUUUCAAGUAUAGAAUAGGAACUAAAAGUAUGAUCACUGUGAUUAUGUGAUUAGACUAUGUGCUGACUGUAAUAGACAGUACUAUGUGUUAAGAUAUAUUGUUCUAAUCGAACGAAUGAUCUGAUUAUUGAUAGGUUGUGAUAAAGAGAUAAAACCUAAGUUGAGAUUUGUAAUCAGCGAAUCAGGCAAGUAUCCUACCUUUGCAUUUCCUUUAUGCAAUGGACAUGAGUAAGAAGUUUCAGAAUUAUUCUAUUCCUGUACAGAUUAUGUACGCUUUGAUUAUCAACAUGUUAGCUCAGAUAUAUAUUCUGUUAAGUUGAUUUCUAAAUGGUUAUACAAGUGUCCCCACUUGGAUAAUCAUGGCAUUUAUUCACAUGUUGAUAUACCUUUGUCAAUUACCCGUAUACAUAUAUGUUGAAUUACAUAUUAUUGUUGAGCAAGAUUAAAAACCUUCGGGUUUGGAACCAGGCAUGUAUGAACAUCCCUAUAUGGGAAGAUUUUUGCGCCCAAGGCGGAUAGAGUGAGCGAUGAAUUUCGUUCAAGUUAUGUAGUAUUGAUCAAUACAGGGUACAACGGGGCUGAUCACCCUCCGUGCCCGUAAGUUAUGACGGUUUGAGGAUGGAUUUCUGCUAAACCUUUUCGAAAAUGAAAAACAAUGUUCAUAGUAUGUUUCUUAAACCCUAUUCAUGGGUGGAGCCUAAUUUCAAGAAAUUGAAAGAGAGUUGUUAUGUGAAUCUUUUAUCAGUACAGAUUACUUCACAACUUUUGAUUCGUUGUAGAAGUGUUAUGUAAAGAGAAUACUUAUAUUCUUUCAGCUUAUAUAUAUAAUUGCUAUUACUUGCUGGGCACUCAAAUGCUCAUCCUUGCUUAAAUUAAAUGUUUUCAGUUAUGUAUGAGCAACCUGAAGGCUCAGGCACGAACAAAGGAAAAGGAAAG